This 1443-nucleotide long non-coding RNA is filed under the name Sus scrofa (pig). RNAcentral's name for it is "lncRNA (ENSSSCG00070006970.1)". Lineage: Eukaryota; Metazoa; Chordata; Mammalia; Artiodactyla; Suidae. The record is from RNAcentral.
GGGGGUUUUCCACCUCCCCGCACAGCCAACGCGGUCAUUCGGCGCACCAAGCAAGGGCAUCUGCCUUUCGAAUUCUGUACCAUGUACAAACUGUACACAAGUAACUUUUUCUUGUUUUGCUUUUUAGGGCCGCACCCGCGGCACAUGGAGGUUCCCAGGCCAGGGGUCGAAUCAGAGCUACAGCUGCUGGCCACAGUCACAGCCAUAGCCACAUCAGAUCCAAGCUGCGUCUGUGACCUACACCGCGGCUCACGGCAACACCGGAUCCUUAAUCCACCGAGUGGGGGCAGGGAUCGAACCUGUGUCCUCAUGGAUACUAGUUGGCCUUGUUACCGCUGAGCCGCAGUGGAAACUCUGGACAAGUAACUGCUUCAAAGAGACUUUCUUCUUAGGAUCUCACCUUUGCUGCAAAGAAAAACCCAAACAGGCUUUGUGAUUUUAGCCUGUUGUCCCCCCUCCCAGCAGCCUCUCAAGGGUUUAUUUUUGAGAUUCAUUUUUCCCCGAGUAGGAAUCAUGCCUUAGAAAACAAGUCAUUAUCAUGCGUUUGUGUUUUAAAUGACCUGGUUUCUCACUCUGCUCCGUUUAUAAUAUCUUCCGUUCAUUCAUUCCACAAACAGAUGCUCUCCGCCAUCUACAGACAGAGAAUCCUGUUGUGCUGGAGCCAGAAGGGCCGGCUUCGUGGGAGAGCUGGAAACGGACCUGGAACCUCAAGCAGGAACGUCCAUCCCUUUCCCAGCUCCCCCCAGGCCCGCAGGAGGAAGCCUCAGCUGGGAGCCAGCCCAACACCUCUGACACCGGCCGCCCUGCCUUUGGGCGAAGAGGGAGCCGGCCUCGGGCGCGGAGGCUUCCGCAGGCGCCGGUGUCCAGCUGGGAUUUGCUCACACGUCCUUGCACUGGUGUUUAUGGCAGCCCUCCGUUGACGGUAAGUGAAACCAGAUUUCCCAUCAGAGCAGUGGUAGCAAGUUUUGUUUUGAAACAAAGGUGUGUAAGCUCGGGGAAAGCAGCCGGCCUUGGAAAGUGUAUUGCUGAUGGCACGGGGGUUCCAGGGAUUGGGCGAAAGCCGAGGGAGGACUGGAGAGAGGCUGGGAGACACCGACGCAGGAAGGGCCCUGAAGUCCAGUGGGUGCCCCUCAGCAGAGGGCCUGCUCCACUCCUGGGGGGCGUCUGUCCUCCGCCCGGUUCUUGUGCGACCAGCUGACGUCACGGGGAGGAAGGGUGUCCCUGGGCUCUGCGGGGCAGCCACGGAGGGGUGGCUCUCAGGACAGUCCUUGCAUCAGGCUCGGGGGAGGGGACGCUCUCUGCCCUGAUCCCCCUCGGCCGUGAAGGCAGGAGUCUGGGGUGUGCGGUGGCAUUGGUGUCCUUUUAUUCGUUUGGGCUCUUUGGAGAAAUUAAGCCUGAAAAAACAAGCCUCCCCAAAAUAAAACAUUUAAGAUAAGCUGUCCA